This 937-nucleotide unclassified non-coding RNA is filed under the name Leishmania donovani. RNAcentral describes it as "gene:LdHU3.25.2150(CDS-product:hypothetical_prote in)". The record is from RNAcentral. Lineage: Eukaryota; Euglenozoa; Kinetoplastea; Trypanosomatida; Trypanosomatidae.
CAAGAGAAGCAGCAUCCACGACUGCCACUACACCAGCAGUGACGCUAGCAAUGACGCAGCCACUGCCACCGGCACGCGAGAAGGCCAUCACAAGGCUGCCUCAGUACUUUCCCACGUCGUGCAAGCAGUGCGCGACGCAGACAGACACCUUCUUCCGUUGCUUCGAGGCGCAUGCAGUCAUGAUGGAUGGCCAUGAUGUGACGACGGCCAAGACGUCGCUACAGCACUGCCAGACAGAGCUGCGGGAGUACAUGACCUGCAUGGAGAAGUACUUGGCAGCGAAGAAUAAGCAUUGGUGGAAAGUGUGGUAGCGUGCCGAUGAAGGAAAGCGUGUCGCCUCCACGCAGCAGUGCAGGACGGGCAGGGCAGCACUUUCUCUCACACACAUACACACACACACCACCACGACCGCCGCCCCUUUCCCCGUGGCUACCCUCCCACUGAGCGGUGCACUCCCCUAUGCUGCCGCGCCGGUAUCGAGUAGAACGAGGCAAGCCUCUUUUGCACUACACACAGACACAGUGAAAGCCGGGAGCACGGUAAGAGCACAAACCGCAUCGCUUGAUAGCGCCCACGGCGCUGCCGAGUCGCUCGAUUCCGUCGAAAAGUUGACCUGAUCGGCCUUCUUGUGCACGUUGCAGCUCUCAGAGAGAGAGACGUGCGCACGGAGUUCACUCUCGGUUGCACGUAUGGCGUGUGGUAUCCCUUUCUCGUGCACUGCCCCUCUCCUUCCCCCUCGUCCUGCUGGCGAUGCACGGACGCGCACGCUCACGCGUGUAGGCGCACAGACACGUCCGUGUGACUGUUUUGUCUUUCAUGCUCUCCCUCUCCAUCUCUUGUUUGGCGCGCCUGACGACUCCUUCGCCCUCUCCAUCCCCUCCCCUCCCCUACCCCUCCUCCUGUGUGAUCGGUAUGGGCUGUGUGCGCAUACGCACAG